This is a non-coding RNA of Vicia faba (fava bean), 264 nucleotides long. NCBI's taxonomy places the organism in Eukaryota, Viridiplantae, Streptophyta, Magnoliopsida, Fabales, Fabaceae. The record is from the annotation of a GenBank genome assembly.
AUGUUAAGUUCAAAUAUUCAAGUAUUGCCAAACUCAUUCGAAUUUUUCAUUCAAGAUUUAACUUGUUUUACAAACACUUUGGAAAAAGUUCCCUCUAAGACUCAUUCUUCUUCAAUAUUCAAGCUCGCCAUAGCCUUGCGAUUUGUCCAUUUUUGCUCAAUCAUUAUGUUCAUGAAACAAGAACAAGAAAGCGUUAGAACACAAUCAAAACUUGAACAUAAACAAAUAAAUUUUCAGCAAGUUUCUUUUAAAGUUCAUCAUUAG